GAAAAACAGAGGGGUUUGGUUAAGAAGAAGAGAGAUGUCACCGGCGAUUAAGAAGAAGACUUCGCCGGUGAAGGAGACAGAGAUGGCGGCAGAGUCUCAGAUCACUGGCAAGGAGUAAGGAGGAGCUCGCCGGUGAUGGUGACAGUGACGACCCAGAGGACGACGGUGAGAAGAAAGAAGAGGUGACGAAGAAGAAGGCAGAUUUUCUGCUCUGUUUCUGGCGAACAGCAGAGAUGAAGAACGAGAAAUCAGAGACAACGCCGUCUGUGCAUGCAAGCUUCUGGUCACAGAGUACAUUUUAUUAUUAUUAUUUUUUUAACUCAGUAAAUUUUUUUAUUUAUUAUUUAUUUUUUUUUUCAGAAAGAGAAAGAGAUGACGGUGAUGGUGGUUGAAGCGGCUAAGAAGAAGAAGAAUGGC
RNAcentral lists this long non-coding RNA (417 nucleotides) under Arachis ipaensis. Its description in RNAcentral is "long non-coding RNA (AIPA_LNC002313)". The record is from RNAcentral. Lineage: Eukaryota; Viridiplantae; Streptophyta; Magnoliopsida; Fabales; Fabaceae.